GAUGAAGAACGUAGUGAAAUGCGAUAAGUAAUGUGAAUUGCAGAAUUCAGUGAAUCAUCGAAUCUUUGAACGCACAUUGCGCCCUCUGGUAUUCCGGGGGGCAUGCCUGUUCGAGCGUCAUUAUAACCACUCAAGCUCUCGCUUGGUAUUGGGGCUCGCGGUUCCGCGGCCCCUAAAAUCAGUGGUGGUGCCUGUCGGCUCUACGCGUAGUAAUACUCCUCGCGAUUGAGUCCGGUAGGUCUACUUGCCAGCAACCCCCAAUUUUUACAGGUUGACCUCGGAUCAGGUAGGGAUACCCGCUGAACUUAAGCAUAUCAAUAAGCGGAGGA
This 329-nucleotide unclassified non-coding RNA is filed under the name soil metagenome. RNAcentral's name for it is "partial contains 5.8S ribosomal RNA, internal transcribed spacer 2, and large subunit ribosomal RNA". The stretch from base 1 to 120 matches the Rfam family "5.8S ribosomal RNA", at positions 35 to 154 of the family's 154-position model. The record is from RNAcentral.